CUAAGUGUUCUGUUACAGGUAGACCCAGAUAUUGACACGCAUGCAGACUGCAGUACCUUGUAGGUGUUGAGGUAGAUUACAGUACUUUGUAGGUGUUGAGGUAGAUUACAGUACCUUGUAGGUGUUGAGGUAGAUUACAGUACCUUGUAGGUGUUGAGGUAGAUUAUAGGUGUUGAGGUAGAUUACAGUACCUUGUAGGUGUUGAGGUAGAUUAUAGGUGUUGAGGUAGAUUACAGUACCUUGUAGGUGUUGAGGUAGAUUACAGUACCUUGUAGGUGUUGAGGUAGAUUAUAGGUGUUGAGGUAGAUUACAGCACCUUGUAGGUGUUGAGGUAGAUUAUAGGUGUUGAGGUAGAUUACAGUACCUUGUAGGUGUUGAGGUAGAUUAUAGGUGUCGAGGUAGAUUACAGUACCUUGUAGGCGUUGAGGUAGAUUACAGUACCUUGUAGGCGUUGAGGUAGAUUACAGCACCUUGUAGGCGUUGAGGUAGAUUACAGCACCUUGUAGGCGUUGAGGUAGAUUACAGCACCUUGUAGGCGUUGAGGUAGAUUACAGCACCUUGUAGGCGUUGAGGUAGAUUACAGCACCUUGUAGGCGUUGAGGUAGAUUACAGUACCUUGUAGGCGUUGAGGUAGAUUACAGUACCUUGUAGGCGUUGAGGUAGAUUACAGUACCUUGUAGGCGUUGAGGUAGAUUACAGUACCUUGUAGGCGUUGAGGUAGAUUACAGUACCUUGUAGGUGUUGAGGUAGAUUACAGUACCUUGUAGGUGUUGAGGUAGAUUACAGUACCUUGUAGGUGUUGAGGUAGAUUAUAGGUGUUGAGGUAGAUUAUAGGUGUUGAGGUCGAUUACAGUACCUUGUAGGUGUUGAGGUAGAUUAUAGGUGUUGAGGUAGAUUACAGCACCUUGUAGGUGUUGAGGUAGAUUACAGAACCUUGUAGGUGUUGAGGUAGAUUACAGUACCGUGUAGGCGUCGAGGUAGAUUACAGCACCUUGUAGGUGUUGAGGUAGAUUAUAGGUGUUGAGGUAGAUUAUAGGUGUUGAGGUAGAUUACAGUACCUUGUAGGUGUUGAGGUAGAUUACAGUACCUUGUAGGUGUUGAGGUAGAUUAUAGGUGUUGAGGUAGAUUACAGCACCUUGUAGGUGUUGAGGUAGAUUAUAGGUGUUGAGGUAGAUUACAGUACCUUGUAGGUGUUGAGGUAGAUUAUAGGUGUCGAGGUAGAUUAUAGGACCUUGUCGGCGUUGAGGUAGAUUAUAGGACCUUGUCGGCGUUGAGGUAGAUUACAGUACCUUGUAGGCGUUGAGGUAGAUUACAGCACCUUGUAGGCGUUGAGGUAGAUUGUAGGUGUUGAGGUAGAUUACAGUACCUUGUAGGUGUUGGGGUAGAUUACAGCACCUUGUAGGUGUUGAGGUAGAUUGUAGGUGUUGAGGUAGAUUACAGUACCUUGUAGGCGUUGAGGUAGAUUACAGCACCUUGUAGGUGUUGAGGUAGAUUGUAGGUGUUGAGGUAGAUUAUAGGUGUUGAGGUAGAUUAUAGGUGUUGAGGUAGAUUAUAGGUGUUGAGGUAGAUUACAGUACCUUGUAGGUGUUGAGGUAGAUUAUAGGUGUCGAGGUAGAUUAUAGGACCUUGUAGGCAUUGAGGUAGAUUACCGUACCUUGUAGGUGUUGAGGUAGAUUACAGUACCUUGUAGGCGUUGAGGUAGAUUACAGCACCUUGUAGGUGUUGAGGUAGAUUGUAGGUGUUGAGGUAGAUUAUAGGUGUUGAGGUAGAUUAUAGGUGUUGAGGUAGAUUACAGUACCUUGUAGGUGUUGAGGUAGAUUAUAGGUGUCGAGGUAGAUUACAGGACCUUGUAGGCG
Long non-coding RNA from Oncorhynchus keta (chum salmon), 1856 nucleotides. RefSeq lists it as uncharacterized. The record is from RefSeq and is a predicted model, not a curated record. Lineage: Eukaryota; Metazoa; Chordata; Actinopteri; Salmoniformes; Salmonidae. The transcript has 5 exons.